This is a long non-coding RNA of Alligator sinensis (Chinese alligator), 165 nucleotides long. RefSeq lists it as uncharacterized. The record is from RefSeq and is a predicted model, not a curated record. Lineage: Eukaryota; Metazoa; Chordata; Crocodylia; Alligatoridae. The transcript is spliced from 3 exons.
GGGGAAAUCAAGAUGGAGGCAGCCACAUGGUCUAUGCUGAAGGAACCUGCUGUAGUAUCAUUAAAGGCGCCAUGAAUGCUCCCAACACUGACUGAUAACGUCAGCAUUUUCUACUGCUUCGCCGCUGGCAUGGGCAACACCCAUGAAACAUGGAUUGUUCCCAGC